This 31-nucleotide non-coding RNA is filed under the name Mus musculus (house mouse). Lineage: Eukaryota; Metazoa; Chordata; Mammalia; Rodentia; Muridae. The record is from RNAcentral.
UGGACAUUUGAUUUAUUUAGCCUGCCCAUUU